UAGGGAAUCUUCCGCAAUGGGCGAAAGCCUGACGGAGCAACGCCGCGUGAGUGAUGAAGGUCUUCGGAUCGUAAAACUCUGUUAUUAGGGAAGAACAAAUGUGUAAGUAACUAUGCACGUCUUGACGGUACCUAAUCAGAAAGCCACGGCUAACUACGUGCCAGCAGCCGCGGUAAUACGUAGGUGGCAAGCGUUAUCCGGAAUUAUUGGGCGUAAAGCGCGCGUAGGCGGGUUUGUAAGUCUGAUGUGAAAGCCCACGGCUCAACCGUGGAGGGUCAUUGGAAACUGGAGAACUUGAGUGCAGAAGAGGAAAGUGGAAUUCCAUGUGUAGCGGUGAAAUGCGCAGAGAUAUGGAGGAACACCAGUGGCGAAGGCGACUUUCUGGUCUGUAACUGACGCUGAUGUGCGAAAGCGUGGGGAUCAAACAGG
RNAcentral lists this ribosomal RNA (429 nucleotides) under Actinomycetes bacterium. RNAcentral describes it as "Actinobacteria bacterium partial 16S ribosomal RNA". It matches the Rfam family "Bacterial small subunit ribosomal RNA", at positions 355 to 776 of the family's 1533-position model. The record is from RNAcentral. Lineage: Bacteria; Bacillati; Actinomycetota; Actinomycetes.